Small nucleolar RNA from Scleropages formosus (Asian bonytongue), 133 nucleotides. Ensembl annotates it as small nucleolar RNA SNORA3/SNORA45 family. The record is from Ensembl. NCBI's taxonomy places the organism in Eukaryota, Metazoa, Chordata, Actinopteri, Osteoglossiformes, Osteoglossidae.
GGCGAGACUAGAGUCACAUCUUGACAGCCAGUCAUUGUCCUGGUGUGCUAGAGUCCUCGCAGAGCAAACUUCUCUGCUUAUUCAUUGGCUGCAGUCUCAUGUGGCCCAGCCAAUCACCAGCUCAGAGAUAUUA